This 828-nucleotide ribosomal RNA is filed under the name uncultured bacterium. Its description in RNAcentral is "bacterial SSU rRNA". It matches the Rfam family "Bacterial small subunit ribosomal RNA", at positions 28 to 897 of the family's 1533-position model. The record is from RNAcentral.
GAUGAACGCUGGCGGUCUGCUUAACACAUGCAAGUCGAACGGGAGUAGAAAUACUCUAGUGGCGGACGGGUGAGUAACGCGUGAGAAUCUGCCUUCUGGUCGGGGACAACCACGGGAAACGGUGGCUAAUACCGGAUGUGCCGAAGGGUAAAAGAGAAAUUGCCAGAAGAGGAGCUCGCGUCUGAUUAGCUAGUUGGUGGGGUAAAGGCUCACCAAGGCAUCGAUCAGUAGCUGGUCUGAGAGGACGAUCAGCCACACUGGGACUGAGACACGGCCCAGACUCCUACGGGAGGCAGCAGUGGGGAAUUUUCCGCAAUGGGCGAAAGCCUGACGGAGCAAGACCGCGUGAGGGAAGAAGGCUCUUGGGUCGUAAACCUCUUUUGUCAGGGAAGAACAAAAUGACGGUACCUGACGAAUCAGCCUCGGCUAACUCCGUGCCAGCAGCCGCGGUAAUACGGAGGAGGCAAGCGUUAUCCGGAAUUAUUGGGCGUAAAGCGUCCGCAGGUGGCUAUUCAAGUCUGCGGUCAAAGACUGGGGCUUAACCCUGGAAAGGCCGUGGAAACUGAAGAGCUAGAGUGCAGUAGGGGUAGAGGGAAUUCCCGGUGUAGCGGUGAAAUGCGUAGAGCUUGGGAAGAACAUCGGUGGCGGAAGCGCUCUGCUGGACUGCAACUGACACUCAGGGACGAAAGCUAGGGGAGCGAAUGGGAUUAGAUACCCCAGUAGUCCUAGCCGUAAACGAUGGAUACUAGGUGUGGCUUGUAUCGACCCGAGCCGUGCCGUAGCUAACGCGUUAAGUAUCCCGCCUGGGGAGUACGCUCGCAAGAGUGA